RNAcentral lists this transfer RNA (76 nucleotides) under Flavobacterium sp. It matches the Rfam family "tRNA". Rfam says of the family: Transfer RNA (tRNA) molecules are approximately 80 nucleotides in length. Their secondary structure includes four short double-helical elements and three loops (D, anti-codon, and T loops). Lineage: Bacteria; Pseudomonadati; Bacteroidota; Flavobacteriia; Flavobacteriales; Flavobacteriaceae. The record is from Rfam by way of RNAcentral.
GGCGAUGAGGAUUCAGUCGUGCAUCUUUGCAGGAUUCAUAACCCUGAGGUCACGGGUUCAACUCCCGUCCUCGCUA